This 429-nucleotide ribosomal RNA is filed under the name uncultured bacterium. RNAcentral describes it as "bacterial SSU rRNA". It matches the Rfam family "Bacterial small subunit ribosomal RNA", at positions 355 to 776 of the family's 1533-position model. The record is from RNAcentral.
UGGGGAAUAUUGGACAAUGGGGGAAACCCUGAUCCAGCAACGCCGCGUGGAGGAUGAAGGUCUUCGGAUUGUAAACUCCUGUUAGGGGGGACGAAGGGCUGUCGGCGAAUAGUCGGCAGACUUGACGGUACCCCCAGAGGAAGCCCCGGCUAACUCUGUGCCAGCAGCCGCGGUAAUACAGAGGGGGCAAGCGUUAUUCGGAAUUAUUGGGCGUAAAGGGCGCGUAGGCGGCCUUGUAAGUCUUGGGUGAAAUCCCUCAGCUCAACUGAGGAACUGCCUCGGAUACUGCAGGGCUUGAGGCCGGGAGAGGGUAGUGGAAUUCCCAGUGUAGCGGUGAAAUGCGUAGAUAUUGGGAGGAACACCGGUGGCGAAGGCGGCUACCUGGACCGGUUCUGACGCUGAUGCGCGAAAGCGUGGGGAGCAAACAGG